CCUCUGACACAUAUUCCUUCCGGCAGUUGCAAACCAAAAUUAACCGGAGAAGCAUUUUCAUGUACAGUCCAGCUGACAUAGCCUUUUUUGGUGAAUACACCACCACCAUGAGCCCAGUUGCAAAGGCAGUAAACAUAUUGCAAGGAGAAUCCAACAUUCAGAUGGGAUGGCUGCUCCCUAUAAUCAUGACCCUUGUGACCAAACUUGACUAAAUGAGAGCAUCGCUGAGAUUCUGCAAGCCGCUAGUUGAUGCCCUCCUAGAUGGUUAGAGGAAACGGUUUGGAGAUAUGACCUCUGAUCCUGAAUUAGUUGCAGCAGCCAUUCUUCAUCCGAAGUUUAAAACCUCCUGGACCAGUGAUGAAGAGGUCCUUAGGCUCGGCCACAGUUACAUUAAGAAGCAUCUUCCUGACCAUGAUGAGGGUGUUCGGUCUGCUGACAACUCCUUAACUACUUCUGAUGAAGAUGAUUUCUUCUCUAAUAUCAAGCAUACUGUACACAGACACAGAAAAUAACCAAACAGUUAGAUGCAUACCUAACAUGUGCAGCUGAAGGUGUAACUAUGUUGACCGCUUAUCCUGCUGUAUGUAAUCUAUCAUUUAAGCUAAACACAGCCCUGCCUGCCUCAGCAGCAUGUGAGAGGCUUUUUAAUACAGCUGGAUUGCAGCAAUCAGCCCAUGCAACUUUGAGAACUAGCUUCUGCUUAAGCUAAAUAAGGACUUUUUACGAAUUUGAGUAAUUUGACCA
Paramormyrops kingsleyae is the source of this 744-nucleotide long non-coding RNA. RefSeq lists it as uncharacterized. The record is from RefSeq and is a predicted model, not a curated record. NCBI's taxonomy places the organism in Eukaryota, Metazoa, Chordata, Actinopteri, Osteoglossiformes, Mormyridae.